UUCGCCCUUAGAGUUUGAUCCUGGCUCAGGACGAACGCUGGCGGCGUGCCUAACACAUGCAAGUCGAACGAAGCCUUCGGGCUUAGUGGCGGACGGGUGAGUAACGCGUGAACAAUCUGCCCUGUACAGAGGAAUAGCCUCGGGAAACCGGGAAUAAAACCUCAUAACACUUCAUAGCCGCAUGGCUGAGAAGUCAAAUCGAAUAAGAGGUAUGGGAUGAGUUCGCGUCUGAUUAGCUAGUUGGUGAGGUAACAGCUCACCAAGGCGACGAUCAGUAGCCGGCCUGAGAGGGUGAACGGCCACACUGGAACUGAGACACGGUCCAGACUCCUACGGGAGGCAGCAGUGGGGAAUAUUGCACAAUGGAGGGAACUCUGAUGCAGCGACGCCGCGUGAGUGAAGAAGGUCUUCGGAUCGUAAAACUCUGUCCUUGGUGAAGAUAAUGACGGUAGCCAAGGAGGAAGCCCCGGCUAACUACGUGCCAGCAGCCGCGGUAAUACGUAGGGGGCUAGCGUUGUCCGGAUUUACUGGGCGUAAAGGGUGAGUAGGCGGUUAUGUAUGUCAGAUGUAAAAGGCGCGGGCUUAACUUGCGUUAGCAUUUGAAACUGCAUAACUUGAGUGCAGGAGAGGUAAGCGGAAUUCCUAGUGUAACGGUGAAAUGCGUAGAUAUUAGGAGGAACACCGGUGGCGAAGGCGGCUUACUGGACUGUAACUGACGCUGAGUCACGAAAGCGUGGGUAGCAAACAGGAUUAGAUACCCUGGUAGUCCACGCUGUAAACGAUGAGUGCUAGGUGUUGGGUAGCGAUACUCAGUGCCGCAGUAAACACAAUAAGCAGUCCGCGUGGGGAGAACGUGCGCAAGUAUGAACCUCACAGCAAUUGACGGGGACCCGCACAACCAGCGGAGCAUGUGGUUUAAUUUGAAGCAACGCGAAGAUCCUUACCAAGGCUUGACAUCCCCUUGACAGAUGCAGAGAUGUGUCCUCCCCUUCGGGGGCAAGGGAGACAGGUGGUGCAUGGUUGUCGUCAGCUCGUGUCGUGAGACGUUGGGUUAAGUCCCGCAACGAGCGCAACCCUUAUCCCUAGUUGCCAGCAUGUAAUCGCGGGCACUCUAAGGAGACUGCCGGUGAUAAUCCGGAGGAAGGUGGGGAAGACGUCAAAUCAUCAUGCCCUCUUAUUUCUUGGGCUACACACGUGCUACAAUGGUCGGUACAACGGGCAGCGAAGAAGCGAUUUGGAGCGAAUCCCAAUAAACCGAUCCCAGUUCGGAUUGCAGGCUGCAACUCGCCUGCAUGAAGUCGGAGUUGCUAGUAAUCGCGAAUCAGAACGUCGCGGUGAAUGCGUUCCCGGGUCUUGCACUCACCGCCCGUCA
This 1372-nucleotide ribosomal RNA is filed under the name uncultured bacterium. Its description in RNAcentral is "16S ribosomal RNA". It matches the Rfam family "Bacterial small subunit ribosomal RNA". The record is from RNAcentral.